RNAcentral lists this ribosomal RNA (468 nucleotides) under uncultured bacterium. RNAcentral's name for it is "partial 16S ribosomal RNA". It matches the Rfam family "Bacterial small subunit ribosomal RNA", at positions 28 to 507 of the family's 1533-position model. The record is from RNAcentral.
GACGAACGCUGGCGGCGUGCUUAACACAUGCAAGUCGAACGGAAAGGCCCUGCUUUUGUGGGGUGCUCGAGUGGCGAACGGGUGAGUAACACGUGAGUAACCUGCCCUUGACUUUGGGAUAACUUCAGGAAACUGGGGCUAAUACCGGAUAGGAGCUCCUGCUGCAUGGUGGGGGUUGGAAAGUUUCGGCGGUUGGGGAUGGACUCGCGGCUUAUCAGCUUGUUGGUGGGGUAGUGGCUUACCAAGGCUUUGACGGGUAGCCGGCCUGAGAGGCUGACCGGCCACAUUGCGACUGAGGGACGGCCCAGACUCCGACGGGAGGCAGCAGUGGGGAAUAUUGCACAAUGGGCGGAAGCCUGAUGCAGCAACGCCGCGUGCGGGAUGACGGCCUUCGGGUUGUAAACCGCUUUCGCCUGUGACGAAGCGUGAGUGACGGUAAUGGGUAAAGAAGCACCGGCUAACUACGUG